This 504-nucleotide unclassified non-coding RNA is filed under the name Crotalaria boranica. RNAcentral's name for it is "partial contains external transcribed spacer and 18S ribosomal RNA". The record is from RNAcentral. Lineage: Eukaryota; Viridiplantae; Streptophyta; Magnoliopsida; Fabales; Fabaceae.
UGCGGGGUGUGGUUCGUNUGANAGCGUUGUGUCUUGCGGACGUGAGUGCGUGUGAGUGGUGAUUGGGAUGGUUGUGCAGUUUGGCUCCUUUCUCAUGGUUUUGGAACUUCCACCAUGCAACCCUUCUCAUGCAUGCCUAGUGCCGGUGGGCCUCGGUGUUCACUCGUGGUUCUUGUGUUGCCUACCCGUUUAGCGGUAUUCGUGUGCCGGGAAUACCCGUUCCUUCCACACCCUCUUGUGGAGGUUGUUGGGGGAUAUAUAAAUUGAUGCGUGUUUUGCGUUAGUCGUGCGUUGUAACGGCUCACGUGGCCACACGUGUUUAUUGUUCCCUUGGAUGUGGUGCAUGCGGUGGACGUGGGCUACUGUUUGUGCCCCGUUUAGUCCCUAUGGCAUAUCUGUUGCCUUCGAAAGACACUUUGCCGUAGUGCCGGCCUUGCUGUCCCAUUGGUGGUGGCAACACUUGCACGUCGUGCGUAGUCGUCAAUGGAUGCUACCUGGUUGAUC